CUUGUAGUUCGAGAGAGGUAGGUGGAAUUUCCAGGUGUAGCGGGUGAAAUGCGUAAAUAUCGGGAGGAACACCGGUGGCGAAGGCGGCCUACUGGGCUCGAUACUGACGCUCAGGCACGAAAGCAUGGGGAGCGAACGGGAUUAGGAUACCCCGGUAGUCCAUGCCGUAAACGAUGGGUACUAGGUGUUGGGGGGAGUCUACCCCCUCAGUGCCGCAGCUAACGCAUUAAGUACCCCACCUGGGGAGUACGAUCGCAAGGUUGAAACUCAAAGGAAUUGACGGGGGCCCGCACAAGCGGUGGAGCAUGUGGUUUAAUUCGAUGCAACGCGAAGAACCUUACCUGGGCUUGACAUGCAGGGGACAGGUAUAGAAAUAUACCCUUCUUCGGACUCCUGUACAGGUGCUGCAUGGCUGUCGUCAGCUCGUGUCGUGAAAUGUUGGGUUAAGUCCCGCAACGAGCGCAACCCUUGUCUUUAGUUGCCAUCAGGUAAUGCUGGGGACUCUAGAGAGACUGCCGGUGACAAACCGGAGGAAGGUGGGGACGACGUCAAGUCAUCAUGGCCCUUACGCCCAGGGCUACACACGUGCUACAAUGGCUGGUACAAUGGGCUGCAAUACAGUGAUGUGGAGCGAAUCCCAAAAAGCCAGCCUCAGUUCGGAUCGUAGUCUGCAACUCGACUACGUGAAGUUGGAAUCGCUAGUAAUCGCGUAUCAGAACGACGCGGUGAAUACGUUCCCGGGCCUUGUACACACCGCCCGUCAAGUCAACCGAGUUGGUUGCACCCCAAGUCGCUGAGGGUAACCCGUAA
Molecule: ribosomal RNA, 810 nt
Filed under: uncultured bacterium
Lineage: Bacteria
Description: bacterial SSU rRNA
Rfam family: Bacterial small subunit ribosomal RNA
Source: RNAcentral